UACGUAGGGGGCAAGCGUUAUCCGGAUUUACUGGGUGUAAAGGGAGCGUAGGCGGCUUAGUAAGUCAGAAGUGAAAGCCCGCAGCUCAACUGCGGGACUGCUUUUGAAACUGCCAGGCUAGAGUGUCGGAGAGGCAGGCGGAAUUCCUAGUGUAGCGGUGAAAUGCGUAGAUAUUAGGAGGAACACCAGUGGCGAAGGCGGCCUGCUGGACGAUGACUGACGUUGAGGCUCGAAAGCGUGGGGAGCAAACAGG
RNAcentral lists this ribosomal RNA (253 nucleotides) under uncultured Blautia sp. Its description in RNAcentral is "partial 16S ribosomal RNA". It matches the Rfam family "Bacterial small subunit ribosomal RNA", at positions 524 to 776 of the family's 1533-position model. The record is from RNAcentral. Lineage: Bacteria; Bacillati; Bacillota; Clostridia; Lachnospirales; Lachnospiraceae.